This is a long non-coding RNA of Oncorhynchus mykiss (rainbow trout), 4059 nucleotides long. Lineage: Eukaryota; Metazoa; Chordata; Actinopteri; Salmoniformes; Salmonidae. The record is from Ensembl.
AUGUGGAGUAUGGAAUGUUGGGGAGUUUUGUCUACGAUUGCUGCCGCCUGUCUGUUAGGUGUGGUGGUGAGCCAGACAACGGCUCCCACGAUGGCUCCUGCUGUGAUGAACACCACAUUCAUUGAGAAUGUGACGGCGACCACCAGAGUCAGUGAGACCACCACAGUCAGUGAGAAUGUGACCUUGACCACACCCAUGAUCCUCAGCACCACAUCUCCAGGCUGCUCUGCCCUCAACACCUCCACCUGUGAGACCUGUGUCCCAGGGUCCUACUCUGACAAUGACACCCUGCUGUGUUCCUGUUGCCAUGAGCCAGGGCUGUGUCUGUUCGCUGGGGCUUGCCUCCCAUGUUCCAGAGGGUUCUUUCAGCCUCUUGCUGGACAACAACGAUGUCAGCCCUGCAGCCAGGGUUUUUACACCAAUUUUACCGGCAGCCUUAUGUGUCAGUCCUGCUCCCCAGGCUCCUACAACAACAACACAGGCUCCGACUCCUGCCGAAGCUGUUCUCCAGGUUUCUAUACAUCACAACAAAAUGCCACAUCGUGCAGUCCAUGUCAACAGGGAACGUUCUGCAACUCCUCCAGUUGUGCUCUGUGUCAGAUCUGUCCUGCUGGUACAGAGUCUCUGCAGCCAGCUGCCAAGGAGUGCACACCUUGUCGUCCAGGUAUGCACAAGGCUCCCCGUCAGAGUAUGUGUCAAAUCUGCAGCAGCGGCUUCUUCCAGAUCCGCUGGGGCCAGGAGACCUGUAACCUCUGCCCUGAAAACCACUACUGCCCAAGUCCAGAUGUGAACCCCAUCCUGUGCCCCGGUGAUGCCUUCUGUCCUGAAGGCAGCACUGCUCCAGGUUACUGCAUGGAGACCUUCUUUCGCAAGGCAGGGGAGGAGUGUGAGCUGGCCCCCGUCACCAUUGCUCUACUUGUCAUAGGAGGAGGAGUGGCCCUACUCUUCGUCAUCCUGCUGGUGUUGCGUCGAAGGCGAGACACAGACGGAGAGCUUUCCCUCGUACGACAACCUCUGUUACGCAAAGAGCGGCCGCAAGGUCGAUACUACGGGAUCCCAUGUGAUGCCGAGCCAGUAUACGCUGGUUGGUGAGCAUGUCCCCAGCCCCAUCUGAUGCCUCCAAUUAUUGGGGUCAAAUGUCUGGCUUUCAGAGCAGAAUCAGCUGAAUUCUAUGUGCCUCAGCUUUGGACUAAUGGACCAUAAGAGAAAGCAAACUCACACCAAAUCCUAGCCAUGGUUUACUAUGUCCAUUUGAGUACUUUUGAUAACUCACCAGCUCUUUCAUGCGGUACGGUACGUCUUUUAUAUGUAUUCUUUUAUUUAUUUAACUAGGCAAGUCAGUUAAGAACAAAUUCUUAUUUUCAAUGACGGCCUAGGAACAGUAGGUUAACUGCCUUGUUCAGGGGCAGAACGACAGAUUUUUACCUUGUCAGCUCGGGGAUUCGAUCUUACUAGUCCAACGCUCUAACCACUAGGCUACCUGCUGCCGUCAUUCUUGACAAGCAGAAGUGUUUUUCUUCUGUAUUUUGUGCUUUAGUGAAGGCUGACCCUAUUACAUUUGUUAAAAAGAAAAACACUGUUCUUUAAAAGAAAAGUAUAUUUGUAUGUUUUAAAGAAAAACACUGACUCCAGUCCAGGGUAUAUACUGGAAUAAAGCACAACUUUGCACUACUUAAGUGAAAUUCUGUUGUAUAAUUACUAGCCUAUAAAAUAAGAUGCAGGCUGAAGUUAUUUCCAUGAUGCAAGUUUAUUAACAAAAUGUCUGUAAAACACCAAAAGGAUGUUUCAUGAGGUGUGCGAGCAAGAACUUUUUACAGGAUCGCGUACUGAUUGUCCUAAUGUGGUACACCGUAGUAGUUCAUUGCGUAACAAAAAAAGAUGGGGGGGGGCCACCAUGGCAAGGAACGUCUCUGGUAUGUAAUGCUUUGCCACAUUAUUCAGAUAAUAGCUACCUGUGAUCAAUUCAAUGUUUUCUGUAAACCCUAUUGCUCUGUUUUACAAUCAUAAUAGCUAAUCUCUUGCCUAACAAGGCAACUUUCAUGGCUAUGAUUACCACAUUCUAAGGUUAUCAAAUGCCAGCUCAUACAUACUCUAGUCAGAUUAAUCGGUAGUUAUACACUGAGUAUACAAUACAGAAUGUUGAGUAAAAUUUAUUUAAACGUACUAUACUGGUUGUCUGUGGUUUGUCCGGCUGCUUGAAAUUUGAGACAAAAUAUUCUCAGAUAAGUAUUGUUUACCCGACUUAGAGAGCUGGUAGGUAUGGUUCGGUUAGGCACCAAGGUAAAAAUUAGCUUUAAAUUUGAUUUUCGGAUUUUAACCCCCCCUCAAAAGAAAAAGUUGGGAUUGUAUCUGUUUUUACCCAACUAAGUAUAUGGCGGCAAUACACCUUUUUGGAUGUAGUCUGCCAAUACAAUCUUAAAGGGGUUUUCUGCUUGUUUAAAGCUGUGUACAGUUCGUUAAGCGCCAGCUUGUAUUUUAAUUGUCCUGAGGUGGACUCCCUCGGGAAGUAGAAGGGGUCAUCAUUUGACCAUCAGGUAUUCCAAGACUGGUGAACAGUGGGUCGACACUUCUACCGCGCUGGAAUAAAUGAACCCCCCCCUCCUGUCUGCCAGGUGAAUGGAGAAUCCAUCGAGUUCUAUAGCUAUCUUGUCUGAGAGCCAUGUUUCUGAAAAGCAAAGAAUAUUGCAGUUCCGAGAGUCCAGUCGGUAGCAAAUCCGCGAUCGGAGGGGAUCUAUUUUAUUAUCAAGUGACUGUUUUUUUGCCUUAAUCUCACCAGGACCCCCCCUCUCUUGUCUCUAACACCGGCGUUUACUUAAUCUCACCAGGAUCCCCCCUCUCUUGUCUCUAACGCCGGUGUUUACUUUUGGGUAGCCUGAAUUUUAGGUUGGAAUUAGAGAGUCCAGGGCAGAUGAGUCGAAGUAGAAGGCAGAAUUGGGGUAAGUAACUGCUGAUCUGUUGUUCAAAAGUUCUUGUCGGUUGUAAGAAAUAAAAGGGGAUACAUUUCAUGAAAAUAGAGUAAAAAUAAACAACAAAAUAAUCACAAAGUUGGGUCGGAGCUUGCAAAACGGCAACCAUCCAGGACGGCACCAUUUCAGGCUCACAAUAAAAGUAAAAAAUAAAUGCAUUUACAGAUGGCAUACAAGUUUGUUAUUAAGCCACAUGGAAGUUCACAUUUUCGAGAAGGCAUUUCUGCCCCCAAAUGCAUUUUGCUCAAAUAAUUGUUUACAUUCAAAUGCCUCUCCUGUGAAGUAGUGACGCCUGACAUGCCUAGUUUCCUGAAACGAGUCACAUAUACCAUAUUUCAAAAGUCUAAACAAUACUUUUCUGUGGAUAUUUUGUCUAAAAUUUAGAGCAGCAAGAAGUACAAACCGCACUAGCCCGGCUGAUGGCGACAUUGAGUCGUUUCAUUUUACCGUCCAAACGCAAUACAUUCUUAUCACUUGUGGACCAGUAGGUGCCUAAAACAUUCUCCAUUCAGGCUGCAUAGGCUUCAAUAUCAUACUUAACAUUUUUAAAUGGCGAGAAGGCGGGGAGAAAACUGGGAAAAUAUCCACGCUUUCCUUAUGAAGCACCAUUUUCCACCACCAUGCUAGUGGCUAUAUGCUAAUCCUGGGUGUUGCAUAUCAUGUUCAGACAAUCAGGUUGAAACGAUCAGACCAGGGGUUAUGUUUCUUUCACAACAGUGCAUUAUGGGAAACCAAGACUGUUCUUAGGGUAGACCUGGUUGUAGCUAGAUAUGUUUGAGUUGCGUCAAGGGACAAAUUUAGCAUUAGUUAACCCUUUUCCUAAACUUAACAUAAUUCUCCUAAUCUGCCAAAGUACACAUAUUUUCCAAAUGUUUUUGUUGCCUUUUAGCCAUUAAAUAAAGCUAAGGAGGAAAUCGAAACCUAUGCGGCCUGAAAUGAUUUUUUUUUUUUUUUUAGGUACAAAUGGGUCCAUGAAGGAUACGAAUGUAUUGCCAGCUGCAUACAAUGCGUUUGGAUAAUAAAAUGAAACAACUCAAUAUCGCCUCGCCAUCUGCUGGCCUUUGGGCUAAAACCGCCUUGACAACCGGUACGA